UCCAUACUAAAAUAAUUACUGCAGGUAUUUCAAAACAAUACAUUGAUUAUAUCUAAAGUGGAUAGAACGGACGGCGGUCAAUAUAAGUGUGUGGCGUCCAAUUAUCUUGGACGAAAAUCUUUCGAGGCGAUGGUUAACGUAUACGGUUUGACGGAAAAUGAUUGAAAUACCUUGUUUGGAGUAACACCAUGUUUUUCUUUUUUUAUUAUUAUUAUAUUAGCGAAUUUACUAUUGUAUAACGACAUAAUAUUGUAGACAAUUUAUUAUUAUUAUUAUUUUUGUGACUUGUGAA
Molecule: long non-coding RNA, 292 nt
Organism: Acyrthosiphon pisum (pea aphid)
Lineage: Eukaryota; Metazoa; Arthropoda; Insecta; Hemiptera; Aphididae
Exons: 2
Source: RefSeq, a predicted model, not a curated record